GAUGAACGCUGGCGGCGUGCCUAAUACAUGCAAGUCGAGCGAACAGACGAGGAGCUUGCUCCUCUGACGUUAGCGGCGGACGGGUGAGUAACACGUGGAUAACCUACCUAUAAGACUGGGAUAACUUCGGGAAACCGGAGCUAAUACCGGAUAAUAUAUUGAACCGCAUGGUUCAUUAGUGAAAGACGGUUUUGCUGUCACUAAUAGAUGGUUCCGCGCCGCAUUAGCUAGUUGGUAAGGUAACGGCUUACCAAGGCAACGAUGCGUAGCCGACCUGAGAGGGUGAUCGGCCACACUGGAACUGAGACACGGUCCAGACUCCUACGGGAGGCAGCAGUAGGGAAUCUUCCGCAAUGGGCGAAAGCCUGAUGGAGCAACGCCGCGUGAGUGAUGAAGGUCUUCGGAUCGUAAAACUCUGUUAUUAGGGAAGAACAAAUGUGUAAGUAACUAUGCACGUCUUGACGGUACCUAAACAGAAAGCCACGGCUAACUACGUG
This 497-nucleotide ribosomal RNA is filed under the name uncultured bacterium. RNAcentral's name for it is "partial 16S ribosomal RNA". It matches the Rfam family "Bacterial small subunit ribosomal RNA", at positions 28 to 507 of the family's 1533-position model. The record is from RNAcentral.